RNAcentral lists this ribosomal RNA (201 nucleotides) under uncultured bacterium. RNAcentral describes it as "partial 16S ribosomal RNA". It matches the Rfam family "Bacterial small subunit ribosomal RNA", at positions 1300 to 1500 of the family's 1533-position model. The record is from RNAcentral.
GUAGUCUGCAACCCGACUACAUGAAGCCGGAAUCGCUAGUAAUCGCGGAUCAGAAUGCCGCGGUGAAUACGUUCCCGGGUCUUGUACACACCGCCCGUCACACCAUGGGAGUCGGAAAUGCCCGAAGUCUGUGACCCAACCGCAAGGAGGGAGCAGCCGAAGGCAGGUCGGAUGACUGGGGUGAAGUCGUAACAAGGUAAC